Molecule: transfer RNA, 75 nt
Filed under: Alphaproteobacteria bacterium CG1_02_46_17
Lineage: Bacteria; Pseudomonadati; Pseudomonadota; Alphaproteobacteria
Also listed under: 1 other name
Description: tRNA-Met
Rfam family: tRNA
About the family: Transfer RNA (tRNA) molecules are approximately 80 nucleotides in length. Their secondary structure includes four short double-helical elements and three loops (D, anti-codon, and T loops). Further hydrogen bonds mediate the characteristic L-shaped molecular structure. tRNAs have two regions of fundamental functional importance: the anti-codon, which is responsible for specific mRNA codon recognition, and the 3' end, to which the tRNAs corresponding amino acid is attached (by aminoacyl-tRNA synthetases). tRNAs cope with the degeneracy of the genetic code in two manners: having more than one tRNA (with a specific anti-codon) for a particular amino acid; and 'wobble' base-pairing, i.e. permitting non-standard base-pairing at the 3rd anti-codon position.
Source: RNAcentral
GGCGGCGUAGCUCAGCGGUAGAGCAGAGGAAUCAUAAUCCUUUGGUCGGGGGUUCAAAUCCCUCCGCCGCCACCA